ACGGAAGGCAGCAGUGGGGAAUAUUGCACAAUGGGCGAAAGCCUGAUGCAGCGACGCCGCGUGAGGGAUGACGGCCUUCGGGUUGUAAACCUCUUUCAGCAGGGAAGAAGCGAAAGUGACGGUACCUGCAGAAGAAGCGCCGGCUAACUACGUGCCAGCAGCCGCGGUAAUACGUAGGGCGCAAGCGUUGUCCGGAAUUAUUGGGCGUAAAGAGCUCGUAGGCGGCUUGUCGCGUCGGAUGUGAAAGCCCGGGGCUUAACCCCGGGUCUGCAUUCGAUACGGGCAGGCUAGAGUGUGGUAGGGGAGAUCGGAAUUCCUGGUGUAGCGGUGAAAUGCGCAGAUAUCAGGAGGAACACCGGUGGCGAAGGCGGAUCUCUGGGCCAUUACUGACGCUGAGGAGCGAAAGCGUGGGGAGCGAACAGGAUUAGAUACCCUGGUA
This 439-nucleotide ribosomal RNA is filed under the name uncultured Streptomyces sp. Its description in RNAcentral is "bacterial SSU rRNA". It matches the Rfam family "Bacterial small subunit ribosomal RNA", at positions 341 to 792 of the family's 1533-position model. The record is from RNAcentral. Lineage: Bacteria; Bacillati; Actinomycetota; Actinomycetes; Kitasatosporales; Streptomycetaceae.